Molecule: non-coding RNA, 114 nt
Organism: Paramuricea clavata
Lineage: Eukaryota; Metazoa; Cnidaria; Anthozoa; Malacalcyonacea; Plexauridae
Source: the annotation of a GenBank genome assembly
CCCUGGUUGCCAGAGGUUCUGUAUCUUUCGCUUUAUUCUUGAGCGAAUAAUUAAUAUAUUAAAAUAAUUAUGAGCGAGAAUAAGGCGAAAGAUACAGAACCUCUGGCAACCAGG